GCUUAGGCUGAAAACUUAUCUAGAAGGUUAAAAAAAAAACAAACUUUUGAAAUGGCCUGAUCCUGGUUUCCCUCAAUAAGGAUGAUCCUGACCCCCACUGAAGGGCUUGUUUGGUCUUGGCCAUCCCCAUCACCAGGAAGGUGCCUGGGGUCCAGGGCUGGAACUACCCCAGUGUUCAGACUGUUCUGCUCCUGGCUGGAAACAUGGAACAUGCCUGUCUUCCAGAUCUGACCCUGCCCAGGCCUAGUGAGUCCCUGCUGCUUCUUGAACCUAGAUCCCACAAAGCCACUGGUGCCUUGACACUGAUUAAGAAGGAUUUGGUGAUGCAGUUCUUCAGACAACUGGAAAAGCCUUAUGUUUGCAAGUUAAAUAUAUGAUGUUCACUGGCUGGUGAAUGUGAACCUGCAGAAAGGAAACUGGUGAGAAUAUGAUGAAGGUCUUGCUUGGCUGAAGUACAAAUUACCACUAGGCUUGGGUAUAGAAGUUAAUCUAGAGAUGAUGAUGAAUCGCUUGGAGGAACUAUGGUGAGUUUGUAAUAUGAGUUAUAGCAAUUUGUAUUUAUUGCAUAAAUACAGUUAUUUAGAUGGAGUACUCACAGUAGUUUGCCACAAUAGUAAAAAGCAGUGGUAGAGGAAGGGUGUUAUUUUUCUUCUGAUAUGUAUUGAAUUGCUGCCUAAGACACUGUGAACUCCGUGGAGAGAUACAGACACUUGCAGGAAGUGAUUCAUCUAAUUUUUAGAUGUCUAAAAUAAGGCAGAUUGAAGAACCUACUUGUCUCUGUAUAACUUCUAGUCUGUAUCUCAUUGCUAUGAGCAGUUCCCUGCAGUUAAAACAAUAUGAUCACAAGUAAGCAGAAGCAGUUUGUCAUAGCAUCCUGCUACCAUACAGCCAAACACAGAUAACUUGACUUUCUAACAAAUUCCCUUUCAGUUGCAGCAUAAGUAGCUCAUCCAACGAAUCAGUUAUAAUCAUGCUCAAAUGCAGAGUCAAAGUUAUACAACAUGGAACAUAGUAUUCCAGCCUGCAAGAAAUUAACCCUUAACAUGCAGCAUUCUGUGUGCAUCUCUGGAGACUGUAUUAAGUUAAGAAGAACUCAAUUGUGUCUAUAAAUUCUUUUUUUGUUUUUUUGCUUUAUUUUUCUUCUUCCACUAUGGAGAUAUAGGAUUUGAUUUUGCAAAGAUUUUGCAGAGCAUUUUCUGGACACUCCUUUCCUCAACUGCUUUCAGGAGAACAGGAUGCUGUGCCUUGUGAGAUCAAGGCCAUACACCAGGUAGAGAAUGUCUGUAUCUGAGCUACUACAUUCCUUGGAUGUGCAACAUUUUCAGAUGACUUCUAAAACUAUCACUUGCCCUCUACUACUGCUUCCAGCUGCCAGCCGGCAAAAAGUGCAGUGUCUAAUCUUGGAUGAUUGACCAGGCUCUAUCCAUAAUUGAUGGAGACAAACACUUCUGAGGGGAGAUUCAUCUGGUCUAUGGAGACCAUGAAUCACACAUUUCCUGUCUCCUGGCUAUUUGUUGACACCCUUGCCUCAUGUCACUGCACCUUUCUGCUUACACUGAUAUCACUGUUAGUGGUGAUGGCAUUACUUAAGUAGUUUAAUUUGUCUGGGUUAAAUAAAAAAAAGUAGAAGUGCUCCCA
Molecule: long non-coding RNA, 1638 nt
Organism: Coturnix japonica (Japanese quail)
Lineage: Eukaryota; Metazoa; Chordata; Aves; Galliformes; Phasianidae
Source: Ensembl